UACAGAGGGUGCAAGCGUUAAUCGAAAUGACUGGGCGUAAAGGGCGCGUAGGUGGGAGCUCAAGUUAGAUGUGAAAGUCGCAGGCUUAACCUGGGAAGGCCAUUUAAGACUGAGUUUCUUGAGUACAGGAGAGGGAAGAGGAAUUUCCGGUGUAGCGGUGAAAUGCGUAGAUAUCGGAAAGAACACCAGUGGCGAAGGCGACUUUCUGGCCUGAUACUGACACUGAGGCGCGAAAGCGUGGGGAGCGAACAGG
RNAcentral lists this unclassified non-coding RNA (253 nucleotides) under uncultured Gammaproteobacteria bacterium. Its description in RNAcentral is "contains 16S-23S intergenic spacer region". It matches the Rfam family "Bacterial small subunit ribosomal RNA", at positions 524 to 776 of the family's 1533-position model. The record is from RNAcentral. Lineage: Bacteria; Pseudomonadati; Pseudomonadota; Gammaproteobacteria.